This 352-nucleotide small nuclear RNA is filed under the name Jaculus jaculus (lesser Egyptian jerboa). RNAcentral describes it as "7SK RNA (ENSJJAG00000001022.1)". The stretch from base 1 to 299 matches the Rfam family "7SK RNA". From Rfam's summary of the family: 7SK was discovered as an abundant small nuclear RNA in the mid-70s but a possible function has only recently been suggested. Two independent studies have found that 7SK RNA binds the CDK9/cyclin T complex (known as elongation factor P-TEFb). Lineage: Eukaryota; Metazoa; Chordata; Mammalia; Rodentia; Dipodidae. The record is from RNAcentral.
GGAUGUGAGGGUGACCUGGCUGUGACAUCUGUCACCCCAUUGAUCACUGGGGUUGACUGGCUGAUCUGGCUGGCGAGGCUGGUGUCCCCCCUUUCUCCCUCACUGCUCCAUGUGUGUCCCUCUUGAAGCUGUGCGCUUGGUCGAAGAGGACGACCUUCUCCGAGUAGAGGAAGACCGGUCUUCGGUCAAGGGUCUAUGAGUAGCUGCGCUCCCCUGCUAGAACCUCCAAACAAGUUCAUUUCUAUUUAUACUUUAACAAAUCUAACCUCUAUCUCAGAGCUUUAUGUGGAGAGCACUUGUGAAGUAAAUAAUGGUCCUUGGUGAAGCUUAAAGUGGCAAGAUGGGCACCAAG